RNAcentral lists this ribosomal RNA (253 nucleotides) under uncultured bacterium. Its description in RNAcentral is "partial 16S ribosomal RNA". It matches the Rfam family "Bacterial small subunit ribosomal RNA", at positions 524 to 776 of the family's 1533-position model. The record is from RNAcentral.
GACGUAGGGCGCGAGCGUUGUCCGGAUUUAUUGGGCGUAAAGAGCUCGUAGGCGGCUUGUUGCGUCUGCCAUGUAAUCCUGCGGCUUAACUGUGGGUUUGUGGUGGAUACGGGCGGGCUUGAGUGCGGUAGGGGAGACUGGAAUUCCUGGUGUAGCGGUGAAAUGCGCAGAUAUUAGGAGGAACACCGGUGGCGAAGGCGGGUCUCUGGGCCGUUACUGACGCUGAGGAGCGAAAGCGUGGGGAGCGAACAGG